UCUCUUUCAUAUCCCUCAUAACGCGCCUAUAUAGGUUCUGCCAGCUUGCUGGCUAUGGUGAUAAAUGGUGCGUGGAAUAAUCGUUGUGGACCCGGGGGCAGUACCCGGCACCUCCACCAACUAUUCUGGGCGGCCCGAUUCAGACUACGCGCUCGUGCGCUUCGUCAUCGGGACGCCUCGGGUUAUUUGGGGGUGAAACAGGCUCGACACGCGUGGUAAAGACCCACCUUUUGCCCGGCAUUGUACCGCCGUUAUCGGGCUAUAACUUAAAUGCGAACGAUAACAACGUAGCAUUCGCGGUCGCUGCCUAAACAGCAGCUAAGCGCGGUUCGGGGGGCACCGGGCAACAGAAGCCCCCCACU
Molecule: transfer-messenger RNA, 362 nt
Filed under: Acidocella sp.
Lineage: Bacteria; Pseudomonadati; Pseudomonadota; Alphaproteobacteria; Acetobacterales; Acidocellaceae
Rfam family: Alphaproteobacteria transfer-messenger RNA
About the family: Bacterial tmRNA, also known as 10Sa RNA or SsrA, is named for its dual tRNA and mRNA-like properties. Its role is to liberate the mRNA from a stalled ribosome.
Source: RNAcentral